Molecule: ribosomal RNA, 253 nt
Filed under: uncultured bacterium
Lineage: Bacteria
Description: partial 16S ribosomal RNA
Rfam family: Bacterial small subunit ribosomal RNA
Source: RNAcentral
UACGUAGGGGGCUAGCGUUGUCCGGAAUCAUUGGGCGUAAAGAGCGUGUAGGCGGUCCGGUAAGUCCGCUGUGAAAGUCGGGGGCUCAACCCUCGAAUGCCGGUGGAUACUGUCGGGCUAGAGUGCGGAAGAGGCGAGUGGAAUUCCUGGUGUAGCGGUGAAAUGCGCAGAUAUCAGGAGGAACACCUAUUGCGAAGGCAGCUCGCUGGGACGUAACUGACGCUGAGACGCGAAAGCGUGUGGAGCAAACAGG